CUUCCCCAGUGCUCCACCUUCCCCAGAGCACGGACCACGGAGGGAAGGAGAAGACUGCCCUGGAGGUCCUACACCUGUGGAAGGCCGUUGGGAAAGAAUCACGGGGUGUGCGGGGGUUCAGACACCGACACCGGGGUAGGCACGCCGUGAAUGCAGCCUGUGACCUGGACCGAAUCUCCCCAUUGUUGUCACCUACCAGGCAAUCGCGCAUAUCUGGGGCCAGUUUCUCACCCCGGGCAGUGGUGCCCAUGACUCUGCUGUGGGCCAUCCAACGUGCAGGAUGUUUAGCGGCAUCCCUGGCCUCCACCCACCAGGUGGCCAUAACACCUCCGAGUUGUGACAAGGACAGAUGUCCCCACACAUUACCAGAUAUCUCUGGGGAGGGGGAGGGAAGGGCAAAAUGACCCAGGAUGAGAACCACUAAGUGCCACAAAUGCCAAGGAAAUAAGGGAGCUAUGGCCAUGUUGCAUGGUACAAAGCACCGAACCGAAUGGCGCGGAGGUGGAAUGACUUUUGGCUUUGUUCCCAGAUGGGCUCCCCUAUCCCCGCCCUCAGCGGGCCUCCAAAAGGAGCCUAAGGGAGACCUUUGCUCAAGCAGAGACUGCUGAUCUGGGCAAGCUCAGCGAUAAAGCCCCCAAGGAGGGAGAUGCCCGCGGUCUUAGAUGUCUCCAGACCUCUGCUCUGCAUCCAUCUCCCCAGCUCCUCCUGAACCCCUGUCUAGCUCCCCCCACUGAGACUGAGAGAUCCUGAAGUCAAGUCUCUAAAUG
Non-coding RNA from Callorhinus ursinus (northern fur seal), 767 nucleotides. The record is from RefSeq and is a predicted model, not a curated record. Lineage: Eukaryota; Metazoa; Chordata; Mammalia; Carnivora; Otariidae.